RNAcentral lists this unclassified non-coding RNA (253 nucleotides) under uncultured Micrococcaceae bacterium. RNAcentral's name for it is "contains 16S-23S intergenic spacer region". It matches the Rfam family "Bacterial small subunit ribosomal RNA", at positions 524 to 776 of the family's 1533-position model. The record is from RNAcentral. Lineage: Bacteria; Bacillati; Actinomycetota; Actinomycetes; Micrococcales; Micrococcaceae.
UACGUAGGGCGCAAGCGUUAUCCGGAAUUAUUGGGCGUAAAGAGCUCGUAGGCGGAUAGUCGCGUCUGCAGUGAAAGUCCGGGGCUCAACUCCGGAUCUGCGGUGGGUACGGGCAGACUAGAGUGAUGUAGGGGAGACUGGAAAUCCAGGUGUAGCGGUGAAAUGCGCAGAUAUCGGGAGGAACACCGAUGGCGAAGGCAGGUCUCUGGGCAUUAACUGACGCUGAGGAGCGAAAGCAUGGGGAGCGAACAGG